Molecule: transfer RNA, 74 nt
Filed under: Myotis lucifugus (little brown bat)
Lineage: Eukaryota; Metazoa; Chordata; Mammalia; Chiroptera; Vespertilionidae
Rfam family: tRNA
About the family: Transfer RNA (tRNA) molecules are approximately 80 nucleotides in length. Their secondary structure includes four short double-helical elements and three loops (D, anti-codon, and T loops). Further hydrogen bonds mediate the characteristic L-shaped molecular structure. tRNAs have two regions of fundamental functional importance: the anti-codon, which is responsible for specific mRNA codon recognition, and the 3' end, to which the tRNAs corresponding amino acid is attached (by aminoacyl-tRNA synthetases). tRNAs cope with the degeneracy of the genetic code in two manners: having more than one tRNA (with a specific anti-codon) for a particular amino acid; and 'wobble' base-pairing, i.e. permitting non-standard base-pairing at the 3rd anti-codon position.
Source: Rfam by way of RNAcentral
GCCAGUGUGGCUCAGUUGGUUGGAGCAUUGUCUUGUACACCAAAAAUUCAUGGGUUUGAUUCCCAGUCAUGGCA